This 270-nucleotide ribosomal RNA is filed under the name Tosia australis. Its description in RNAcentral is "partial 12S ribosomal RNA". The record is from RNAcentral. Lineage: Eukaryota; Metazoa; Echinodermata; Asteroidea; Valvatida; Goniasteridae.
GAUAACCCCCGGAAGACCUCACCAGCUUUUGAAAACCCAGCAUGUAUACCAUCGUCGUCAGUCUACCUCUCAAGAGAAGUAUACUUAAUGAAUAUAAUUCACCACGUCAGAUCGAGGUGCAGCUAAUAAGCUGGGGGUUGGUGAGCUACAAUACUGUCCACAACACAAAACUAACUAUGAACAGCACAAUGAAACUGGUGCUUAAAAAAGGAUUCAGUAGUAAUACCCAAAAGAAAAUGGGUAUAAAAKAUUAUAAGCUCUAAAAUGCGC